AAGAGCCGUGUGCGGUAAUUCCGCUCGCACGGUUCUGUGAGGAGUUGAGGAACACAGCCGUUAGACUACGGUUGUGUUCCCGCUUACUCGAC
This 92-nucleotide non-coding RNA is filed under the name Scopulibacillus darangshiensis. Lineage: Bacteria; Bacillati; Bacillota; Bacilli; Caryophanales; Sporolactobacillaceae. The record is from RNAcentral.